Molecule: transfer RNA, 85 nt
Filed under: Ixodes scapularis (black-legged tick)
Lineage: Eukaryota; Metazoa; Arthropoda; Arachnida; Ixodida; Ixodidae
Rfam family: tRNA
About the family: Transfer RNA (tRNA) molecules are approximately 80 nucleotides in length. Their secondary structure includes four short double-helical elements and three loops (D, anti-codon, and T loops).
Source: Rfam by way of RNAcentral
GCAGUCGUGGCCGAGUGGUCAAGGCGAUGGACUAGAAAUCCAUUGGGGUCUCCCCGCACAACAGGUCCAAAUCCUGUCAACUGCG